Long non-coding RNA from Mizuhopecten yessoensis (Yesso scallop), 314 nucleotides. RefSeq lists it as uncharacterized. The transcript is spliced from 2 exons. The record is from RefSeq and is a predicted model, not a curated record. Lineage: Eukaryota; Metazoa; Mollusca; Bivalvia; Pectinida; Pectinidae.
UCAGGAAGUGGACAGUAUGAAGAAAACACAUCUCAACAAAAUACCUCGAGAGGAAUGACAUUACAAGAGGCUCGAGCUCGAUACAGAGCAAAUGUUCAACAAGAGGACACACAGACUCAAGGAGACUUUGAAGCUCCACAGUGGGACACAGACAAAGGUCGAAGGUCGAACACAGGGAAGAACCAGUAUGGUGAUAAUUGGGAUACCAGUGAUUGAUGAAGACGCCCUCCUUAGAGAAGAAAAUCAUUUGGUUCAAUUCCUGUUUCUGUUUUAGUGGCAUGAUUGAAAAUAAAACAAGAUAAAUAUUACCUGUA